Molecule: unclassified non-coding RNA, 4500 nt
Filed under: Leishmania donovani
Lineage: Eukaryota; Euglenozoa; Kinetoplastea; Trypanosomatida; Trypanosomatidae
Description: gene:LdHU3.17.1470(CDS-product:Phosphorylated_CTD _interacting_factor_1_WW_domain_containing_protein_putative )
Source: RNAcentral
AACUUGGUAGCCGCCACAUACCCACCCCCACGUCCUUUCGCCAUUCCACAUGAAUGCGCGAACCACGCGCGAUGGCGUGGCGGAGGUGUUUGAGCGGGAUCGAGUGGCGCUCAUCAUGCAGCAGGCACUCGCUCAUCGUUACUCCCAUCCGCUGUCGUCGCCGCUCUUUGAUGGCGUGCAUGACGGUCACCUUGUGGACUCUGAGGGCUACGGUACCGCUACAUCCGAUAUGGCCGCCAAGUCGCCCUCCUCUCCACCUCGCUUGACAUGUCCGUUGCACUAUACGCUGCGCCGAUGCUCUCGCACCGAGUAUUAUCUUCGUUUUACUCCACCCAUUUCUGACACGACAGGGUUCAUGGAGUCGAGCACGGCGGGGGGCUCUCCCUCUGUGUCGACGCAGUGGCAGCCGCGGGACGACGAAGCCUCUGUAGCGACUGCCGUGGCCGCAGAGUGCUGGCGUCACGCCGCCUUCACGGCACUGACGCAGAGAGACCUGCGCCGACUGUGCGGACUGCCCGAGGAAACCGGGCCCGGCACCAACGGACACCGGCACGAGCCCACACCGUCGCCGCCUUCUCUUUCCGCGACGCCGGUGACGUCGCAUCCCCGUCGCUCCUCUCCGCCUCUCGUGACUCACCAUGAGUUUUUUGAGAUGCCGUCCCGGUGGGUCAUGCAGAGCCUCGGCGAGGUGGAUCAGCACACUUUUCACAGUUACGCGGAAUGGGAUUGCCGGCGCCUUGUCACUCCACUCGAUGUCGGGGCCACCGUCGUGAAGCAGGCAGUGGGAGCGGAGGCAGUAGUCAGAGGGGCGGCUGCCCCCGCUCCUGGCGGUGAUCAGACUGCCUCCCCCGGAGGUCCGGCAGCAUCGCUGUAUUCGCCGGCGCAGAUGAUGACAGAGAGAGGUGGUGCCGCGCCACCAUCGUCCUCGUAUCUGAGUCGCACGUCUGCGUCCUCGUCGGAGGCGGAGCAUAUGCUGCGCCGUCAAGAGCGUUUCCGUGUGCGUUCAACGGCAGCUAUGGCGCGCGGGGCAUACUGGGUAGACGUCGUGCCGCUCACGGCGGAGGAAGAGUGUGAUAGGAGGGCGAUAAGAGUAACGGCAAGCACAGACACUGCGAUUUCUGCCGUUGCCGACACCGAGAACAAUAGCAUCACCUGUGAGCGCGUCGACCGCGAUGCGUUGCUGCUGCACCCUCCUGUGGCGCUUUAUGUGGACCCACUUCUGCCCUGUGACGAGCUCUACAGCGAACGCGGCGUCAACACCAGCGUCUAUGUCUUCUUCCUGCGCGCACUUCAGCAGCAGCAACACAAGCUCGCAGACGGUCGCAUCUCGUGCGAUACCGCCGCCUUCGACAGCAGCAGUGACUGUAGCGGUAUGCGCCCCGGCAAAGGAACCGGUAUGCCUGACCCACCCGAGGCCGCAGCGGCGCUGGCCCUACAGCUUGCCUUGUGCGCACGACAGCGGCGUCUGGAGUUAGCGGGACGCAUUCAUCGAGCAAUCAACGCCGCCAAUCCCUCAUCUGUGCUGCUCCGCGUACCCUCGAGAGAAGUCGCGACGUGUGCCAUAGAAGGCGCCGCUGUCACCUCUGCUAAGUGCUCGGGGGUUGCCGCACCUGCGGUGCUGCUGCAGGUGCGCGUGGACCAUGCUCGAGGAUCUGUGCAGCUUCGCGCGCUGACACUGGAGGAUUCGGCGGACAGUACCAGUGACCUGCUAGGAAGCGAGUGGCAUGCAAGCGGACGUGCGGCAACACCCACCUCGUCAGCUGCGGCACGACCCCGUCUGCAAGACACGGAAACCUCCAGUGCUGCCUACACCAAGCGGAGAAGAGAGGACGCGGAAGAAGGCGAGGAGGCAGUGCGAUACAGCCACAAUGCUGCUACAACCAAGGCGACGCGGUCGCCAACAGUGGAGGUGCUGCUCCGCUCUGCUUGGAAACUGGCUGCUCUUUACGAUAUAACGCGUUCCGCGUCGCUGGAGCCGCAACAGGCAGACCAGGGCGCCAGCGACGAAAGCAGAGCGGCGAGGGUGAAAAGCCCCGAAGGGGCGCAGAUGGGCGCAUCUCUGCCGGCUUCAUUGCCUUCGUGGCUCGCGACGUCGCUCUUGAGACGCCUUACAGGCAGGCCGCAAGCGGUUUCUGGCCUAACUGCAUCAGGAACCACUGAUGUCCACAGUGAAGCGUCAUGCGACUCUAGCUGGAGCACUGUGGCGCUUCAUCGAGGGGACGCAUGCUUACCGUCGACAAUGCCGCUUGCCGGUGAAAGGGUCCCUUGCCUACCCCUGUCUGCUGGACGGAUCGACCACCCAAGCGCCUCUUCGCCUCCUCUGUUGUUGGCCGAUGACGAUCCACCAACUGGUGUUCCCGCGGCUACCGCCAUAGCCAGCACCACCCUGACCACGGCCACAACUACAGCCGAAGAGCGCAUCUUUCUUGGGCGACUUUUUAUCCUUCUCCUUCGGUAUCGUACGCUCUUCGGGGGGCAUGGGUACAACCAAGGCCCACAGGCUGCUUUGCCGCCCCCGGUGAUGGAGCACCUUGCCGCCGCCUUCGAGAUCAGCGCCGAGGCGUUCGCGUCACCGCUGAACGCGCAGCUGCCUCAGUUUGGCUCUCUGUUCCCCGACACAGACAGGCACUUUGGAAGCAUGGGGUCCUUCUUUGACCUUCAGUUCGGCGGUGCCAGCGGCGACUGUCACGCUCAGCGAGCGCCCAUACCAACCGACUGCGCUGCACCGCCGCCAGGGUGCCAUGUCGAAGUCAACCCGCCCUUCGACACGACUCUUCUUCGCCACAUGGGGACGCAUCUGCUGUCGUGUCUGAAGCGUGCGCAGGAGUCGAUGCAGAGCCUUCUGUUCCUCAUUGUGCUGCCCAGCCAUGACUUGACGGACGCGGAGAAGGCGGCGGCAGCGGUGGCAAGCACGCGGCUGCCAACGCAAGCGGCCACCGCGAAGCGCCUCGGCAGCGACCAGUUGCGUGGCAGCAGUGCUGCCACUGCUUCGGUGCCACCGAGUACCGAACGCACGCUGCGUGAGUCGCCGUACUGCCUUGGCCACGUCCUCUGCGCGGCGGCGGAGUCGGCCUACGUGGACGGCCACCAGCACCUCCUGCAAAGUCCCUUCUUUCGUAUCGAGACGCCGACGCGGCUGAUUCUUCUCGGCAACACGGUGGCUCGCACGCGCUUCCCUCACGCAGCCGCGCAGCUGGAGUCGGUGCGUGUGGCUUGGAAGGAGCUGACGGAGAGCGCGCUGCUGCAGCAGCGUUGAGGCGGUGCGCUGCGCACGUGCUCUGCUAGUGCGCAUUGAACCCUGGCGUGAGCAUCUCCCACUCUUGUGCGUGUAGGUGUCUGGCUGCGUUUGCGUCUCUCUUAGGGCUUCUUUCAUGGUGUCUGGGAGUGCGGAGCUGUUUUACGCGACACGCAACGGCGGGCCUACACACCUCACGAGGAGUGCUGAGGAGAAGCACACUUGCAGUGGAUGGGAGUAGGCACCGGCUGCGCUUCGACAUUAGGAGAGGAUGCGGUCUCACGGUGUGUGCACCUCACACUGUGUGUGUGUGUGUGUGUGUGUGUGUGUCUGCGCGCACGAUUGGGAAGCGCGGAAGAGGAUCGCGGAAGGGAUGGGAGCGAGGAGGAGGAAAAAGGGCGAAUGCGCGCGAUAAUGGGCGUGCGCUCUCAAGCCUACGCGAUGUCGGCGGGUUUCCGACGUCGCUUGUCUCCCGCCUCUCAACCAUCCGCGAAGGGCCGCUUUUCUUUCGUGUGCUGUGCUCAGCCCAUCCGCGUCCCUGGCAGUGCGGAGUCACCUCUGCGUGCACGGUGCAAGGGUCCGGCGCCCACGCUUUGUGGGCGAACAAAGAGCCUUCACAACCUGCCCUCGGGCACGGUCGCGGGACUCCCUGGCGCCGGCGGACGGGUGUGGGAUGUCGCAGUGCCGGAGGGACAUGCGGUCAUGACCACGUUGGGAGCAGCUCCCUACGAAUGGUGUCGACGAUGGAACAAGUAUGCGCAUCCGCCAAGUGCUUUUCUGCCUUUGCUGCGUUUCGGUGAUGUUGAGGGUAAUCCGCGGGCCUCGCCUGCGCUCUCUGCAGUGGGCUGAACGGUAUCCAGCGGUGUGUGGUGCGUGUGCUUGGCCGGUGUCCGUUACAUAGACGUGGGCGCAACAGGGGUGGGUGCGCUGCGGGCGGUGCAUGCGUGCGUGUUGGUUGACCUGUUCAUGGUUGAAGGAUACGUUGAAAGAGAAAGAAAGAGGCCUUCUCUGUGUUAGUCAAGGGGCAGGACCGCGUGCCUGCUACUUCUGCACGGCGCCUGCACUCUUGUGUGUUGAAGCUUACGUUCGUGACCGUCUAAGCCAUUGAGCCGGACUGCAGAGAACGUCGCACCUCGCCGCAAGCAGCAGCCAUCCGCCCCGUCCCGCUCCUCUGUGACGCGAAAAGUGACCCUCUUAGCACCACUCUCCUACCUUCUGCCUCCUUGGACAACCCUGCCCUAUCUGCGCGUUGCGCACGCGCUCAG